ACGCGAUAAGUGAUCCNCCUGGGGAGUACGCACGCAAGUGUGAAACUCAAAGGAAUUGACGGGGNACCCGCACANNCGGUNGAGCAUGUNGUUUAAUNCGANNGCAACGCGAGAAACNNUACCAGCGUUUGACAUCCUAAGAAGUUUCCAGAGAUGGAUUCGUGCCGGCUUGCCGGAACUUAGUGACAGGUGGUGCAUGGCUGUNNNCNGCUCGUGUCGUGAGAUGUUGGGUUAAGUCCCGCAACGAGCGCAACCCCUAUUGUAUGUUGCUACCAUUAAGUUGAGCACUCNUGCGAUACUGCCUGCGAUGAGCAGGAGGAAGGUGGGGAUGACGUCAAGUCAUCAUGCCCCUUAUACGCUGGGCUACACACGUGCUACAAUGGGCAGUNCAGAGAGUUGCCAACCCGCGAGGGUGAGCUAAUCUCUUAAAGCUGUUCUUAGUUCGGAUUGUACUCUGCAACUCGAGUACAUGAAGUUGGAAUCGCUAGUAAUCGCAAAUCAGCAUGUUGCGGUGAAUACGUUCUCGGGUCUUGUACACACCGCCCGUCACACCACGAGAGUUGGUUGCACCUGAAGUAGCAGGCCUAACCGUAAGGAGGGAUGUUCCUAAGGUGUGAUUAGCGAUUNGGGNG
RNAcentral lists this ribosomal RNA (632 nucleotides) under uncultured prokaryote. RNAcentral describes it as "partial 16S ribosomal RNA". It matches the Rfam family "Bacterial small subunit ribosomal RNA", at positions 855 to 1482 of the family's 1533-position model. The record is from RNAcentral.